AAGCGAAACGACCACCCCCCCAGGGGGGUAGUCGUCGCUCGGGGGUGGUGCCCCGGGCCUGAUGAUGCAGCCAAGU
Molecule: non-coding RNA, 76 nt
Filed under: Desulfuromonas soudanensis
Lineage: Bacteria; Pseudomonadati; Thermodesulfobacteriota; Desulfuromonadia; Desulfuromonadales; Desulfuromonadaceae
Source: RNAcentral